CCGAGUUUACAUAACUGCCGCAAACCCAAUGUGAACAUACCUCAAGUUGCUUCGGCGGGAACGCCCGCGGCGCGCCCUUCGCGACCCUCCCGCCCGCGGGGGGAUCGGGGAGGCCUAGCCCGGACGGCCAGGGCGCCCGCCGGAGGUACCCAAACUCUUGUCUUCAGUAUAUUCUUCUGAGUGGCAAACGGCAAAGAUAAAAUCA
RNAcentral lists this unclassified non-coding RNA (205 nucleotides) under soil metagenome. RNAcentral's name for it is "partial internal transcribed spacer 1". The record is from RNAcentral.